GACGAACGCUGGCGGCGUGCCUAAUACAUGCAAGUAGAACGCUGAAGGAGGAGCUUGCUUCUCUGGAUGAGUUGCGAACGGGUGAGUAACGCGUAGGUAACCUGCCUGGUAGCGGGGGAUAACUAUUGGAAACGAUAGCUAAUACCGCAUAAUAUUGACUAUUGCAUGAUAGUCAGUUGAAAGGUGCAACUGCACCACUACCAGAUGGACCUGCGUUGUAUUAGCUAGUUGGUGGGGUAACGGCUCACCAAGGCGACGAUACAUAGCCGACCUGAGAGGGGGAUCGGCCACACUGGGACUGAGACACGGCCCAGACUCCUACGGGAGGCAGCAGUAGGGAAUCUUCGGCAAUGGACGGAAGUCUGACCGAGCAACGCCGCGUGAGUGAAGAAGGUUUUCGGAUCGUAAAGCUCUGUUGUAAGAGAAGAACGAGUGUGAGAGUGGAAAGCUCACACUGUGACGGUAUCCUACCAGAAAGGGACGGCUAACUACGUG
RNAcentral lists this ribosomal RNA (495 nucleotides) under uncultured bacterium. RNAcentral describes it as "partial 16S ribosomal RNA". It matches the Rfam family "Bacterial small subunit ribosomal RNA", at positions 28 to 507 of the family's 1533-position model. The record is from RNAcentral.